This 460-nucleotide ribosomal RNA is filed under the name Salmonella enterica subsp. enterica serovar Anatum. RNAcentral describes it as "bacterial SSU rRNA". It matches the Rfam family "Bacterial small subunit ribosomal RNA", at positions 338 to 795 of the family's 1533-position model. The record is from RNAcentral. Lineage: Bacteria; Pseudomonadati; Pseudomonadota; Gammaproteobacteria; Enterobacterales; Enterobacteriaceae.
CCUACGGGUGGCUGCAGUGAGGAAUAUUGGUCAAUGGGCGGGAGCCUGAACCAGCCAAGUCGCGUGAAGGAAGAAGGAUCUAUGGUUCGUAAACUUCUUUUGCAGGGGAAUAAAGUGCAGGACGUGUCCUGUUUUGUAUGUACCCUGAGAAUAAGGAUCGGCUAACUCCGUGCCAGCAGCCGCGGUAAUACGGAGGAUCCGAGCGUUAUCCGGAUUUAUUGGGUUUAAAGGGUGCGUAGGUGGUUUGAUAAGUCAGCGGUGAAAGUUUGCAGCUUAACUGUAAAAAUGCCGUUGAAACUGUCGGACUUGAGUGUAAAUGAGGUAGGCGGAAUGCGUGGUGUAGCGGUGAAAUGCAUAGAUAUCACGCAGAACUCCGAUUGCGAAGGCAGCUUACUAAGCUACAACUGACACUGAAGCACGAAAGCGUGGGGAUCAAACAGGAUUAGAUACCCUUGUAGUC